This 479-nucleotide ribosomal RNA is filed under the name uncultured bacterium. RNAcentral's name for it is "partial 16S ribosomal RNA". It matches the Rfam family "Bacterial small subunit ribosomal RNA", at positions 28 to 507 of the family's 1533-position model. The record is from RNAcentral.
GAUGAACGCUAGCGGGAGGCCUAACACAUGCAAGCCGAGCGGUAGAGUUUCUUCGGAAACUUGAGAGCGGCGCACGGGUGCGUAACACGUGUGCAACCUACCUUUAUCUGGGGGAUAGCCUUUCGAAAGGAAGAUUAAUACCCCAUAAUAUAAUGAUUGGCAUCAAUUAUUAUUGAAAACUCCGGUGGAUAGAGAUGGGCACGCGCAAGAUUAGAUAGUUGGUGAGGUAACGGCUCACCAAGUCAAUGAUCUUUAGGGGUCCUGAGAGGGAGAUCCCCCACACUGGUACUGAGACACGGACCAGACUCCUACGGGAGGCAGCAGUGAGGAAUAUUGGACAAUGGGUGAGAGCCUGAUCCAGCCAUCCCGCGUGAAGGAUGACGGUCCUAUGGAUUGUAAACUUCUUUUGUACAGGGAUAAACCUGCCCUCGUGAGGGUAGCUGAAGGUACUGUACGAAUAAGCACCGGCUAACUCCGUG